CCUAAGGUAGCGAAAUUCCUUGUCAGGUAAGUUCUGACCCGCACGAAUGGCGUAAUGAUUUGGGCACUGUCUCAACAGCCCGCCCGGCGAAAUUGUAGUACUGGUGAAGAUGCCAGUUACCCGCAACUAGACGGAAAGACCCCAUGGAGCUUUACUGCAGCUUAAUACUGAAAUUCGGUAGUACAUGUACAGGAUAGGUGGGAGACUGAGAAAUACAGGCGUCAGCUUGUAUGGAGUCGCUGUUGGGAUACCACUCUUGUACUGCUGGGUUUCUAACCUGCGGCCGUGAAUCCGGUCGGGGGACACUGUUAGGCGGGCAGUUUGACUGGGGCGGUCGCCUCCAAAAAGGUAACGGAGGCGCUCAAAGGUUCGUUCAGCACGGACGGAAAUCGUGCAUUGAGUGUAAACGCAUAAACGAGCCUAACUGCGAGACCGACGGGUCGAGCAGUAACGAAAGUUGGAGUUAGUGAUCCGGUGGUAUGUGAGUGGAAAUGCCAUCGCUCAACGGAUAAAAGCUACCCUGGGGAUAACAGGCUGAUCUCCCCCAAGCGUCCACAGCGACGGGGAGGUUUGGCACCUCGAUGUCGGCUCGUCGCAUCCUGGGGCUGAAUUCGGUCCCAAGGGUUUGGCUGUUCGCCAAUUAAAGCGGCACGCGAGCUGGGUUCAGAACGUCGUGAGACAGUUCGGUCCCUAUCUGUUGCGGGCGUAAGAGAUUUGAAGGGAGCUGUCCUUAGUACGAGAGGACCGGGAUGGACGUACCUCUGGUGCACCAGUUGUCCUGCCAAGGGCAUAGCUGGGUAGCUAUGUACGGACGAGAUAAACGCUGAAAGCAUCUAAGCGUGAAACUCCCCCUAAGAUGAGAUCUCUCAUCCUUUAAGGAGUAAGGACCCAGAAAGACGAUCUGGUUGAUAGGCCGAAGGUGGAAGCGCAGUAAUGUGUGCAGCUGAUCGGUACUAAUAGUCCGAGGGCUUGACCUA
RNAcentral lists this ribosomal RNA (977 nucleotides) under metagenome. RNAcentral describes it as "bacterial LSU rRNA". It matches the Rfam family "Bacterial large subunit ribosomal RNA", at positions 1950 to 2925 of the family's 2925-position model. The record is from RNAcentral.